This 949-nucleotide long non-coding RNA is filed under the name Zostera marina. RNAcentral describes it as "long non-coding RNA (ZMAR_LNC004953)". The record is from RNAcentral. Lineage: Eukaryota; Viridiplantae; Streptophyta; Magnoliopsida; Alismatales; Zosteraceae.
AAUAGAGUGUGGUUGAAAAUUAAAAUUGAAGAUAAAGUCUAAAACUAGUUUGGACUGCCACCAACCAGUUUCCAGGAUCCUUCAAUUGAUCACCUCCUAGUAAUAUAGGUUGCGCCACUUUCAUGAAGUCCAUUACCGUGAUUGGCUUGGCAGCCACUGGUGCUUGCACCGGGUUCGUUCUUCGAGCUCGUACCAUCGAUCUGCAUCAAUUCACAACAUAUAAUACACAUAUAUCAUAACUAUUAUUUCCUUAAACCCAUUAUGUUUCUUAAUUAUUCACCCCCCCAUGAUCAAGAUAUGGUUCAAUACAUAUCCUGAUUUUUUAUUUCUAGUCUCUGAUACCACUUGUAAAACCCUACUUUCCAGUCUGUAUUUCUCGUCAUAUUUACACACAUGUCUAGUCUUUAAGAAAAUGACGAGUCCUUUGUUUCUUACCACUCCAGUUAGGCAAGGCUGCCUCCAUUCCCUGCAAUGUUGUAUGUAUCCGUGAAUGAUUUCAGUAUGUAAAGCAUCCACGUUAACAUUUUAACAGUAAUUACAUCUGAUCAGAAUAAAUCGGAUUAUUCCAAUCAGAUCCGUUGAUUUAUAUCAUGGUGACCACCAUGAUUUUCAGAACAUUAAACUCUAGAAAAAUAGAACCCAUCCAUUUUCCCUCCCUCACAUUCUCCAACCCUAGACAUGGAAUUUGGAAAAAAGUAACCCUACAUACCUGAUCCUCCUUUGCCCGCCGAGCUUCACACCUUCCGCACCACGAUACCAGAGCUCCUCUACAGAUCCCCGCCACAAUGCCACUCCCUUCUUCUUGCUCUACCGUUUCCUUUCCUUUCUUUUCCUUUUCCUUUCUUUCUCCCGUACGUUGCCCUAGUUCUUCCGAUCUCCUCCUUUCCUAUUUUACCCUUAAUUAACCGGGUCACCCAUUAACCGGUUAUUACAGGUGCAUUGUUCGAUU